GACGAACGCUGGCGGCGUGGAUUAGGCAUGCAAGUCGAACGGUGUCAUCCUUUCGGGGGUGAGAGAGUGGCGAACUGGUGAGUAACACGUAGGUUAUCUACCCUCAAGACGGGGACAACCCAGGGAAACUUGGGCUAAUACCGGAUGUGAGCAACUUUUAGUUGUUUGAAAGGUGGCGUAAGCUGUCGCUUGGGGAUGAGCCUGCGUCCUAUUAGUUAGUUGGUGAGGUAACGGCUCACCUAGGCAAUGAUAGGUAGGCGGCCUUAACGGGUGGUCGCCCACACUGGGAUUGAGAUACGGCCCAGACUCCUACGGGAGGCAGCAGUCGAGAAUAGUCUACAAUGGUCGGAAGACUGAUAGUGCGACGCCGCGUGAACGAUGAAUCCCUUCGGGGUGUAAAGUUCUUUUAUAUGUGAGCAGUGCUUCUUAUAUUAACAGUAUGGGGAGAGAGAUAUUAGCAUAUGAAUAAGCAACGGCUAACUCCGUGCCAGCAGCCGCGGUAAACUCGU
RNAcentral lists this ribosomal RNA (509 nucleotides) under uncultured bacterium. Its description in RNAcentral is "bacterial SSU rRNA". It matches the Rfam family "Bacterial small subunit ribosomal RNA", at positions 28 to 528 of the family's 1533-position model. The record is from RNAcentral.